Molecule: ribosomal RNA, 292 nt
Filed under: uncultured bacterium
Lineage: Bacteria
Description: partial 16S ribosomal RNA
Rfam family: Bacterial small subunit ribosomal RNA
Source: RNAcentral
GUGCCAGCAGCCGCGGUAAGACGAACCGUGCGAACGUUGUUCGGAUUCACUGGGCUUAAAGGGCGCGUAGGCGGCUCGCCAAGUCAGGGGUGAAAUCUUUCGGCUUAACCGGAAAAGUGCUUCUGAUACUGGCGGGCUGGAGGGGGGUAGGGGCGGACGGAACUUCCGGUGGAGCGGUGAAAUGCGUAGAUAUCGGAAGGAACGCCGGUGGCGAAAGCGGUCCGCUGGACCCCCACUGACGCUGAGGCGCGAAAGCCAGGGGAGCAAACGGGAUUAGAUACCCCCGUAGUCC